AUGCAAGUCGAACGGAGCUGAGAGGAGCUUGCUUUUCUUAGCUUAGUGGCGAACGGGUGAGUAACGCGUGAGUAACCUGCCCUGGAGUGGGGGACAACAGUUGGAAACGACUGCUAAUACCGCAUAAGCCCACGGAUCCGCAUGGAUCUGCGGGAAAAGGAUUUAUUCGCUUCAGGAUGGACUCGCGUCCAAUUAGCUAGUUGGUGAGGUAACGGCCCACCAAGGCGACGAUUGGUAGCCGGACUGAGAGGUUGAACGGCCACAUUGGGACUGAGACACGGCCCAGACUCCUACGGGAGGCAGCAGUGGGGGAUAUUGCACAAUGGGGGAAACCCUGAUGCAGCGACGCCGCGUGGAGGAAGAAGGUUUUCGGAUUGUAAACUCCUGUCGUUAGGGACGAUAAUGACGGUACCUAACAAGAAAGCACCGGCUAACUACGUGCCAGCAGCCGCGGUAAAACGUAGGGUGCAAGCGUUGUCCGGAAUUACUGGGUGUAAAGGGAGCGCAGGCGGACCGGCAAGUUGGAAGUGAAAACUAUGGGCUCAACCCAUAAAUUGCUUUCAAAACUGCUGGCCUUGAGUAGUGCAGAGGUAGGUGGAAUUCCCGGUGUAGCGGUGGAAUGCGUAGAUAUCGGGAGGAACACCAGUGGCGAAGGCGACCUACUGGGCACCAACUGACGCUGAGGCUCGAA
RNAcentral lists this ribosomal RNA (691 nucleotides) under uncultured bacterium. RNAcentral describes it as "bacterial SSU rRNA". It matches the Rfam family "Bacterial small subunit ribosomal RNA", at positions 55 to 757 of the family's 1533-position model. The record is from RNAcentral.